RNAcentral lists this ribosomal RNA (406 nucleotides) under uncultured bacterium. RNAcentral's name for it is "partial 16S ribosomal RNA". It matches the Rfam family "Bacterial small subunit ribosomal RNA", at positions 30 to 526 of the family's 1533-position model. The record is from RNAcentral.
AUUGAACGCUGGCGGCAUGCCUAACACAUGCAAGUCGAACGAGUGGCGGACGGGUGAGUAAUGUCUGGGAACCUGCCCGAUGGCGGGGGAUACCUACUGGAAACGGUAGCUAAUACCGCAUACCCUCGGAUGUGCCCCGAUGGGAUUAGCUAGUAGGUGGGGUAACGGCUCACCUAGGCGACGAUCCCUAGCUGGUCUGAGAGGAUGACCAGCCACACGGGAACUGAGACACGGUCCAGACUCCUACGGGAGGCAGCAGUGGGGAAUAUUGGACAAUGGGGGCAAGCCUGAUGCAGCCAUGCCGCGUGUAUGAAGAAGGCCUUCGGGUUGUAAAGUACUUUCAGCGAGGAGGCGUUACUCGCAGAAGAAGCACCGGCUAACUCCGUGCCAGCAGCCGCGGUAAUAC